RNAcentral lists this ribosomal RNA (503 nucleotides) under uncultured Chloroflexota bacterium. RNAcentral's name for it is "bacterial SSU rRNA". It matches the Rfam family "Bacterial small subunit ribosomal RNA", at positions 355 to 874 of the family's 1533-position model. Lineage: Bacteria; Bacillati; Chloroflexota. The record is from RNAcentral.
UAGGGAAUAUUGCACAAGGGCGAAAGCCUGAUGCAGCAACGCCGCGUGCGCGAAGAAGGCCUUCGGGUUGUAAAGCGCUUUUCGGGGAGAUGAGGAAGGACAGUAUCCCCGGAAUAAGGCUCGGCUAACUACGUGCCAGCAGCCGCGGUAACACGUAGGAGCCAAGCGUUAUCCGAAUUCACUGGGCGUAAAGCGCGUGCAGGCGGCUCGGUAAGUUGGAUGUGAAAUCUCCUGGCUCAACUGGGAGGGGACGUUCAAUACUGUCGGGCUAGAGGACGGCAGAGGGAGGUGGAAUUCCCGGUGUAGUGGUGAAAUGCGUAGAUAUCGGGAGGAACACCAGUGGCGAAGGCGGCCUUCUGGGCCGUACCUGACGCUCAGACGCGAAAGCUAGGGGAGCGAACGGGAUUAGAAACCCCGGUAGUCCUAGCCGUAAACGAUGUAGACUUGGUGUAGGUGGUGUAAAAGCCAUCUGUGCCGAAGCCAACGCGAUAAGUCUACCGCCU